This 1482-nucleotide long non-coding RNA is filed under the name Malus domestica (apple). Its description in RNAcentral is "long non-coding RNA (MDOM_LNC007957)". Lineage: Eukaryota; Viridiplantae; Streptophyta; Magnoliopsida; Rosales; Rosaceae. The record is from RNAcentral.
CCAAUUUCUUCGUCUCGUCAAGAACUAUGAUUUUUGUUUUUGAAUCACUUGUUUUCGUUGAGUAUUGACAAAGUUAUGGACGUUGAAAGGUUGCCCAGAAAUUUCGGCGAGUUACCAGUUUUCUCGCGGACAGCCGUCUUUCAAACCAUUUUCCGACAACCUCCAGCCACCAUUUGGACUCCAAGCUGUAUAAUUUUGUUCUACAUUUCUCUAGCUUCGAUUUGGUAUAUUAUAGGUUGAAUUUGGUUGAAAAAUAAGUGAGAUAUGGAGUUCCAAAGAUUGCUCAGGAAAUCUGCAAAAUCUGUAGAAUUCAAGCAAAGUCCCAUUAAGUUCACCAUUUGAUUAGAAUAGUAAUCGACGAUCCGAACGUUGGAUUGUCACCAAACUUUAAUACAUUAUAGUACGUAAUAUUUGAGGACCAUAGAAACUUACAGAUCAAGAAUCUGACGUACAGAUCUUCCCGAAUUGGAUGUGUAAGUUUAUAAAAUAAAUGUUAACCGCCACUUGGUUUUGGGCAAUUGGCGGAGAUCCGACCGUUGGAUCGCAAUGAAAUUUUAAUAUGUUAUUCUAGAAGCAUAAUGUGAAUCUUUGGAAGUUGCGGAUUAAAAAUCUAGUAUGCAGAUCGUCCGGAUUGAGUUAUACAGGGUUGUAGACCCUACCGUCGAUCUUUGAUCGACGAUUGACUUAUGGUCAAUGGGUCUCAAACUAUUUUAGAAUGUCCUUGAGGAUGUGUUUUAUUUGAAUUACGUAUUCUAUUAAUGAGGAUUCUGAGAUGUGGUUAAUAAUUGGCCGCAGGCGCUGAUCGUUUGGAACUCCCUGAUGGUUGUGCUAGGAAGUUGUAGCAUGGACUCCAAGUGAGUGGAUCUUUCCUUGCUCAUCAUAUGUUUAAUGAUUGAUAAUUCUAUAAUGUUUUUAAAUAAAACUAAGAAAUUUAUGCCAUGAUUGAUAAUUCUAUAAUGUUUUUAAAUAAAACUAAGAAAUUUAUGCCAUGACAUAUAUAUAUGUUAUAAAAUACUAUGAAAUGGUUAAGUUAGAUUUCAUCGUGAUCUAUCCAUAUGCGUAUCACUAUAAAUGAUUUUUGCGAACUAUGAAUGGCUUGAUCUCUGUUUAGGGUACGUAGGCAGUUUAACGAGACGUUAGAUGCAACCAUAUAAGAAACGAAAUUAAAUAAUCGAGACCAUAGCCUUGUUUAAGGAAUUGAGCAAUGUGUGUGGGCUUUUGGUUUUCAGUAUAUAUUUAUAUACUUGAUAUUUUCCCAGAAAUAUGUUUAAAUGAUAUUAUGCCUUUAAUGCCAUGCAUAUAAGUUUAUAAUUUGUAUAUGAAUUGGUAUAUGAUGUAUUAUAUAUAAUUGUGUUGUUGUGAGAGCUCUGAAGUGCAAAAGUGAAUGUAGGACAUUCAGGUAAGUUCAGGUAAGUUUAAGUAAAUUCAAGCAAGUAUACGGUAUUAGAUGAUUGACGAGAUAUGUGAUAAGUUAUGAAUAUG